AUGCUUAACACAUGCAAGUCGAACGAGACUUAGUAAUAAGUUAUAGUGGCGGACGGGUGCGUAACGCGUAAGAACCUACCUUUCAGAGGGGGAUAACAUCGGGAAACUGUUGAUAAUACCCCAUAAUACUGAGGAGUUAAAACCAUGUAAAAGUGGGCUGAAAGAGGGGCUUGCGUCUGAUUAGCUAGUUGGAGGGGGUAAAAGCCUCCCAAGGCCAUGAUCAGUAGCUGGUCUGAGAGGAUGAUCAGCCACACUGGGACUGAGACACGGCCCAGACUCCUACGGGAGGCAGCAGUGAGGAAUUUUCCGCAAUGGGCGAAAGCCUGACGGAGCAAUGCCGCGUGGAGGAAGAAGGUCUGUGGAUUGACCUUAAUGGUCCACUUAUUUUUGUAUUGAUGAGUUAAAGAACUAAAUAUUUAAUAUAAAAUAUCAAAUAUAAAAUAUCAAAUAUAAAAUAUCAAAUAUAAAAUAAGAAAUAAUUAUAUUAAAUUAAUAUGUCUAAAGUGAUUUUAUUAACUGCACCUCAUCCUAAAAGAAGAGCUAUGCAAAAGAUACCUAUUGAUCAACAACUAACUCAUGAACUUGCUGUUGGUUCGUUAUUAGGUGAUGGAGCUCUUGUAGGAAAAAAAGGUAAAACACCUUGCUUAGAAAUUGAACAAAAAUCCCCUACUUACGUUAUGUGGAAAAGAAGUUUGUUUGAAAAAGCAGGUAUAAUGUCAACCUUUACUCCUAGAGCUGGUACGAAAUAUCGUAUAACUAAAUUACUAAAUAAAGAUAUUAAUUUACCCUUAACAUGGAAAGCUCACAUUAAAAAUCAAAAAUGGUAUCGUGGUUUUUCUUUUACAACUAGAGCACUGUUUAGUCAAACUUGGCGAAACCUGUUUUAUAAGUCUGUUAGUGGUAAAAAAAGAGCAAGGUUUAGAAAAAGAAUUCCAGAUGAAAUAAAAGACCUUUUCUGGAGUUCACUUUCUUUAACUAUUUGGUUUUUAGAUGAUGGUUGGUGGAUUCCUGAUAAAAAAACUGUAGCCUUUUCUACUGAAGAAUGGCCAAUUAGAGAAGUAAAGCUUUUAAUAGAAACGUUACGACAAAAUUUUGGAAUAGAAUCAACAGUUUAUUUUAGUAAAGGUCAACCUCACCACAUUUAUGUACAUCCUAAUAGUUAUCCUAUUUUUUUUAAUAAUGUAGAUCCUUAUUUAGCACAAUUUAGAAAAGUUUAUCCUAGAUAUGCAGUAAGCACAGCUAUGAAAAACAAAAUAGCUCCAUCUCCUUUAACUUCAGCGGGUCAACGUUUACCUAUAGGUAGACCAAAAAAUACAAAAAUAACAAAAACUGGGUGAAUUGCAAGAAAGUCUAAGUUUUUAAAAAAAUAUGAUAACUUGCAGCCAAGCUAGUCACGUAGCCAUUGUGUGAUUAGAAGGUUCAACGACUAACAGGUGAAGCGCUACAACUAAUAAUCCUGACACGAGCGCCCAGCACUUAAAUAAGUGAAGACAUAGUCUGUUCUUACGGGAAACCGUAAGCUUGCAAAAAGAGCAAGGUUAAGUUGAUUAAAAGAACAGCUUAGCUAACAAAAAGCGUAAACUCCUUUUUUCAGAGAAGAAUAAGUGACGGUAUCUGAAGAAUAAGCUCCGGCUAACUAUGUGCCAGCAGCCGCGGUAAUACAUAGGGAGCAAGCGUUAUCCGGGAUGAUUGGGCGUAAAGCGUCUGUAGGUGGUUUAAAAAGUCUACUGUCAAAUAUCAAGGCUCAACCUUGGACAGGCGGUAGAGUACUUUUAGACUAGAGUGCGGUAGAGGUAGAGGGAAUCCCUAGCGUAACGGUGAAAUGUGUAGAUUUUAGGGAGAACACCAGCGGCGAAGGCGCUCUACUGGGCCGUAACUGACACUGAGAGACGAAAGCUAAAGGAGUGAAAAGGAUUAGAUACCCUUGUAAUUUUAGCUGUAAACGAUGGAAACUAAGUGCUGCCGAAUGCAGUGCUGUAGCUAACGCGUUAAGUUUCCCGCCUGGGGAGUAUGCUCGCAAGAGUGAAACUCAAAGGAAUUGACGGGAGUCUACACAAGAGGUGGAUUAUGUGGUUUAAUUCGAUGCAACACGAAGAACCUUACCAGGGUUUGACAUGCUCAGAAUUUUUCAGAAAUGGAAAAGUGCCAGAAAUGGAACUGGGACACAGGUGGUGCAUGGCUGUCGUCAGCUCGUGCGUUGACGUGUAUGGUUAAGUCCUGCAACGAGCGCAACCCUCGUCUUUAGUUAAUAACUCUAAAGAGACUGCCAGUGUAAACUGGAGGAAGGUGAGGAUGACGUCAAGUCAGCAUGCCCCUUACACCCUGGGCUACACACGUAAUACAAUGGUUGAUACAAUCAGAAGCAACCCUGCGAAGGCUAGCAAAUCUGCUAAAAUCAGCCUCAGUUCGGAUUGCAGGCUGCAACUCGCCUGCAUGAAGCCGGAAUCUCUAGUAAUCGCCGGUCAGC
Molecule: ribosomal RNA, 2467 nt
Filed under: Hyalomonas oviformis
Lineage: Eukaryota; Viridiplantae; Chlorophyta; Chlorophyceae; Chlamydomonadales; Chlamydomonadaceae
Description: bacterial SSU rRNA
Rfam family: Bacterial small subunit ribosomal RNA (bases 1408-2467)
Source: RNAcentral